GACGAACGCUGGCGGCGUGCCUAAUACAUGCGAGUCGAACGAGAGCGCCCGGUGCUUGCACUGGUCAAUCUAGUGGCGAACGGGUGAGUAACACGUGGGUAACCUGCCCAUCAGAGGGGGAUAACAUUCGGAAACGGAUGCUAAAACCGCAUAGGUCUUCGAACCGCAUGGUUUGAAGAGGAAAAGAGGCGCAAGCUUCUGCUGAUGGAUGGACCCGCGGUGCAUUAGCUAGUUGGUGAGGUAACGGCUCACCAAGGCCGUGAUGCAUAGCCGACCUGAGAGGGUGAUCGGCCACAUUGGGACUGAGACACGGCCCAAACUCCUACGGGAGGCAGCAGUAGGGAAUCUUCCGCAAUGGACGCAAGUCUGACGGAGCAACGCCGCGUGAGUGAAGAAGGUUUUCGGAUCGUAAAACUCCGUUGUUAGAGAAGAAUAAGUGCUAGAGUAACUGUUAGCGCCUUGACGGUAUCUAACCAGAAAGCCACGGCUAACUACGUG
RNAcentral lists this ribosomal RNA (498 nucleotides) under uncultured bacterium. Its description in RNAcentral is "partial 16S ribosomal RNA". It matches the Rfam family "Bacterial small subunit ribosomal RNA", at positions 28 to 507 of the family's 1533-position model. The record is from RNAcentral.